Ictalurus punctatus (channel catfish) is the source of this 1013-nucleotide long non-coding RNA. The record is from Ensembl. NCBI's taxonomy places the organism in Eukaryota, Metazoa, Chordata, Actinopteri, Siluriformes, Ictaluridae.
CACAGUGCGGCGUAAAACACUCAGAGGAAAGCACUAUCCACACUCUUCUGCAUACAUGAGCUUUCUCAUGAAGAGAGGGUAUGCCAUAACACCCACCCUAAGAGCAUGGCCAAUUAUGCUCUCCCCAGGACUGAAAGAAUGGUUAUUUGAGUUACUGUAGACUUCCUGUCUCUCAAAUCAGCUUGAACCAGUCUGGCCAUGCUUCUCUGACCUACAUAAAAACCCUGGAGGUCAGUAGUUUCUGAAACACUCAGUGGUAUCCACAUAAAUACCUUAAGAUGCGCAAGUUACAUUCUACACCAAAUUAGUGUCAUUUAUUGAAAUAACUAUGGACGUGUACUAUAUAUCAUGUAAAACAUACAAAUCCUGGUCAAAAUAUCACACGCAUUCCUUAUGUAAGAUUAUGUCCGCAACCUCAGGCAUUACACUGCCUGCAGCUGUACAUUUCCUAUCAUCAUCUUGAUAAGCAUUAAUAAGCAUAGUAAAUGUGUGUGCAAAUAUACAUGAUGAGUCAUUGAAAACACUUCAGCUAACCUGUGAGAUCAUCAUGACUACUAUUGCUAAAACAGAUGCUAUGAGGAAAAAAAAAAGUCUUUGUCACUGCACUGGGCUCUGUGAUGAGCAAAAUAAAAUUUAGCCAACACAAUUUGGCCCUUGAGUCAGUCAGAUCCUUACACUUGCCCAUUUUUCCUGCUUCCAACACAUCAACUUGCUGCCUAAUUGUCAUAUAUCAAGGUGGAACUCUGGACUUCAGUUCCCAUCAGACACUGCACUGUACUACAUGUCACAUGACCACUUGCACCUGAAUCACGUUUCUGUUAAUGAGCCCACUUAUAUAUAGCCAUUGUUUGCACUGUUUCUCUGCCUUUUCGUUUGUCUUAGACUACCGUGUUCCAUGUUACCAUGUUUAUUGAUCUUGUUAGUUUAUGUUUAGUUUUGCCAUAGUAUUAUGCCAAGUUGUCUUAGUGUCUUUGUUUUUUGUUGUUUAUUCAAAUAAACUAUUUGAAAAUCUG